UACAGAGGUCUCAAGCGUUGUUCGGAUUCAUUGGGCGUAAAGGGUGUGUAGGUGGCGCCGUAAGUCGGGUGUGAAAUUUCGAGGCUUAACCUCGAAACUGCAUUCGAUACUGCCGUGCUUGAGGACUGGAGAGGAGACUGGAAUUUACGGUGUAGCGGUGAAAUGCGUAGAUAUCGUAAGGAAGACCAGUGGCGAAGGCGGGUCUCUGGACAGUUCCUGACGCUGAGGCACGAAGGUCAGGGGAGCAAACGGG
RNAcentral lists this ribosomal RNA (253 nucleotides) under uncultured prokaryote. RNAcentral's name for it is "partial 16S ribosomal RNA". It matches the Rfam family "Bacterial small subunit ribosomal RNA", at positions 524 to 776 of the family's 1533-position model. The record is from RNAcentral.